Long non-coding RNA from Neofelis nebulosa (Clouded leopard), 687 nucleotides. RefSeq lists it as uncharacterized. The record is from RefSeq and is a predicted model, not a curated record. The transcript has 3 exons. Lineage: Eukaryota; Metazoa; Chordata; Mammalia; Carnivora; Felidae.
CGGGUUUCCAUUCGGGUCUGUCUGACCCCACAGUCCAGCACUGGCCACCACCACGUUUCACAGCAGAACAUGGAAUUCUUGACUUGUGUCAGUGACAUGAGUGUGACAUUGGGAUACAAAUCAUUACUGUGGUGCACUUCUGGGCCCCAGGCUGUGUGGUUGGACUGACGCUGGGCCUUUGUUGAAGGUUCAGGUCAGUUGGGAAGUGGGCUUGAAAAGAAGAAGGAAAAGGAAAGGCAGAAAGAGAAAGAGUGGGGCUGAUGUCCAUUAACCUGCUGACCGAUCUAGCCUGGGUCUCUGGCUCAACUCAUUCCUCUGGAAGAGAUGGAAAUACAUCCCAUUUUGGAAAAUACAAGAAGCAAUAACGAAAAAAAUGAAAAUAAUCUAUAAUCCUACUAGGCAAAGAUAACUACAAUCAACAUUUGGGGAUUUUCCCUGUGACUUUUCAAAAUGUAUUUUAUCCUGCUUAUUGUUAGCACAUGACAUCAUAUCUUGAGGAUUUUUUCAUGUUGUGACUUUGUAAACAUCUGUUUCACGGAAGAAGGGCAAAAUGAAUAUUUUGAAGACUUAGGAAAUAAUUUCUGAAGUUAAUUGCACCAAUUUACAGUCUUACCUGAUAUAUGUGAGAGUUUCUUUCCUGUUUUUUAACUUUAAGUUAAAUGAAAUUACAUUAAAUUUUUACUUUCA